GGCUCAGAUUGAACGCUGGCGGCAGGCCUAACACAUGCAAGUCGAGCGGUAGCACAGAGAGCUUGCUCUCGGGUGACGAGCGGCGGACGGGUGAGUAAUGUCUGGGAAACUGCCUGAUGGAGGGGAAUAACUACUGGAAACGGUAGCUAAUACCGCAUAACGUCGCAAGACCAAAGUGGGGGACCUUCGGGCCUCAUGCCAUCAGAUGUGCCCAGAUGGGAUUAGCUAGUAGGUGGGGUAACGGCUCACCUAGGCGACGAUCCCUAGCUGGUCUGAGAGGAUGACCAGCCACACUGGAACUGAGACACGGUCCAGACUCCUACGGGAGGCAGCAGUGGGGAAUAUUGCACAAUGGGCGCAAGCCUGAUGCAGCCAUGCCGCGUGUAUGAAGAAGGCCUUCGGGUUGUAAAGUACUUUCAGCGGGGAGGAAGGCGAUAAGGUUAAUAACCUUGUCGAUUGACGUUACCCGCAGAAGAAGCACCGGCUAACUCCGUGCCAGCAGCCGCGGUAAUACGGAGGGUGCAAGCGUUAAUCGGAAUUACUGGGCGUAAAGCGCACGCAGGCGGUCUGUCAAGUCGGAUGUGAAAUCCCCGGGCUCAACCUGGGAACUGCAUUCGAAACUGGCAGGCUAGAGUCUUGUAGAGGGGGGUAGAAUUCCAGGUGUAGCGGUGAAAUGCGUAGAGAUCUGGAGGAAUACCGGUGGCGAAGGCGGCCCCCUGGACAAAGACUGACGCUCAGGUGCGAAAGCGUGGGGAGCAAACAGGAUUAGAUACCCUGGUAGUCCACGCCGUAAACGAUGUCGAUUUGGAGGUUGUGCCCUUGAGGCGUGGCUUCCGGAGCUAACGCGUUAAAUCGACCGCCUGGGGAGUACGGCCGCAAGGUUAAAACUCAAAUGAAUUGACGGGGGCCCGCACAAGCGGUGGAGCAUGUGGUUUAAUUCGAUGCAACGCGAAGAACCUUACCUGGUCUUGACAUCCACAGAACUUAGCAGAGAUGCUUUGGUGCCUUCGGGAACUGUGAGACAGGUGCUGCAUGGCUGUCGUCAGCUCGUGUUGUGAAAUGUUGGGUUAAGUCCCGCAACGAGCGCAACCCUUAUCCUUUGUUGCCAGCGGUUAGGCCGGGAACUCAAAGGAGACUGCCAGUGAUAAACUGGAGGAAGGUGGGGAUGACGUCAAGUCAUCAUGGCCCUUACAACCAGGGCUACACACGUGCUACAAUGGCAUAUACAAAGAGAAGCGACCUCGCGAGAGCAAGCGGACCUCAUAAAGUAUGUCGUAGUCCGGAUUGGAGUCUGCAACUCGACUCCAUGAAGUCGGAAUCGCUAGUAAUCGUAGAUCAGAAUGCUACGGUGAAUACGUUCCCGGGCCUUGUACACACCGCCCGUCACACCAUGGGAGUGGGUUGCAAAAGAAGUAGGUAGCUUAACCUUCGGGAGGGCGCUUACCACUUUGUGAUUCA
RNAcentral lists this ribosomal RNA (1458 nucleotides) under uncultured organism. RNAcentral describes it as "SSU rRNA". It matches the Rfam family "Bacterial small subunit ribosomal RNA". The record is from RNAcentral.